GCUUGGAAAGGAGCACAUGGGGUGGAUUUCAGCCUGACUCGCCUUUUCAGCUGGGAGCUUCUGUGCAGGGCACUUGCUACAAGACUAUUUUUAACAGUCAAAAAUUCUGGGAAAUCUGCUCAGCUCAAUUUUCACAGAGAUACUGAUGAAACUAUUUAAAACAAUCAAAGGAAGAUGGAAGAUAAUUGUAGAAAGGAGCAGUGACAGAGAAUACACGUAUGACAGGUGAGGAUAAUCCAAAAGCUAACUCCUGGAAAGACCUAAAUGGCAAGCCAUGGCACAUGUGGGUCCUUAGGAAUCAAUUGAACUUUUCAUAGUAUCAGUUUUAUCACAGACAUGGAAAACAAUUCCAAAGGUAG
Long non-coding RNA from Choloepus didactylus (southern two-toed sloth), 359 nucleotides. RefSeq lists it as uncharacterized. NCBI's taxonomy places the organism in Eukaryota, Metazoa, Chordata, Mammalia, Pilosa, Megalonychidae. The record is from RefSeq and is a predicted model, not a curated record. The transcript has 3 exons.